Long non-coding RNA from Onychomys torridus (southern grasshopper mouse), 421 nucleotides. RefSeq lists it as uncharacterized. NCBI's taxonomy places the organism in Eukaryota, Metazoa, Chordata, Mammalia, Rodentia, Cricetidae. The transcript has 4 exons. The record is from RefSeq and is a predicted model, not a curated record.
CUCCAGAUGAGCAUGGGGGGAAAGCACCGCCAAACUCCCUAAGAAUUCAGCAACCAAUCAGCUGCGCCAUGGUCACCAGAGGACAAACAGGAAGGGAAAACAGGAAUUGAAUCCUCUAGCUUGCAGUCACGUGCUUCUGCUUCUCAGAGACUUGCUUACAGAGAAGAGCUGUGUCACCUCAUCCAGCAAGGCAGAGCUAAAGGAUUGCAAAAAGGAAAUCUUGAAGAUAUCACAGUAGAGAUGGAGAGGCAUCAUUUCAUCCAAGAGCAGCUCCCAAUCCAUGUUACCUAAAAUCUACGACACUUGGGAAGCCAUUCUGAUGACUACUAAUGCAAAAUUGUUUUCAGAAGACUUAUGCUAAGUAAAUCUCGAUGCCUUCUUCUUGUGAAUAUAUGUUUGCUAAAAGUAUUUAACCCGGCGG